Molecule: ribosomal RNA, 462 nt
Filed under: uncultured bacterium
Lineage: Bacteria
Description: partial 16S ribosomal RNA
Rfam family: Bacterial small subunit ribosomal RNA
Source: RNAcentral
AGUGAACGCUGGCGGCGUGCCUAAUACAUGCAAGUCGAACGGAGAUUAAGUAGCUUGCUAUUUACUCUUAGUGGCGCACGGGUGAGUAAUAUAUAGCUAACUUGCCCAUUACUAAGGGACAACAGUUGGAAACGACUGCUAAUACCUUAUACUCCGUAUCUAUAUAUGUAGAUACGUGGAAGUUUUUCGGUAAUGGAUAGGGCUAUAUCGUAUCAGCUCGUUGGUAAGGUAAUGGCUUACCAAGGCUAUGACGCGUGACUGGACUGAGAGGAUGAUCAGUCACAGUGGAACUGAGACACGAUACAGACACCUACGGGAGGCAGCAGUAGGGAAGAUUGCUCAAUGGAAGAAACCCUGAAGCAGCAACGCCGCGUGGAGGAGGACACUUUUCGGAGCGUAAACUCCUUUUCUUGGGAAAGAAGUAUGACGGUACCCAAGGAAGAAGCACCGGCUAACUCCGUG